Pistacia vera is the source of this 684-nucleotide long non-coding RNA. RefSeq lists it as uncharacterized. The transcript is spliced from 2 exons. Lineage: Eukaryota; Viridiplantae; Streptophyta; Magnoliopsida; Sapindales; Anacardiaceae. The record is from RefSeq and is a predicted model, not a curated record.
AAGCUGUCUGAUGAAUGGAAGGAGCACUCUGUUAAUGUCCUACGUCUGAAGCUUUGAGGGAAGCUCUAAGAAGUUUAGGCAGAAGAAUGAGAAAGCCUUAACAAAGUCAGAAGAUACUGCCCGCAUUGCAUUAUUGAAGGAGGCAGACAAGCAUAGCAAGGUGAUUUUGGGACGGUUGUCACGAGGCCAUGGAUGCCUGAAGGGCAUAGUUUUUGUCUCUGUUGCACUAGCUGCAAGUGCAGUUGUAAUGUCCUCCCAAAACAUGGAACUGUGGGACAUGAAGAAAUUAUUGGAAAUGAUUACUCACCUUAAAACUCUCUGAGCUACUAUCAAGGGGAGUCCAGCAGCUACCGCUGCACAACCGGAUAUAGGUUUAACUAUGCUCGAAAUAGGUCAGUUUUCUGAGGCAACCCCUUAAAAAAUGGGGGAGGUUGAGUUUCUUGGUUUCUAAUGUUUACCAGAAUUAGAAAUAGGAGCCCCAGCAAGCGGCUUUUGUGGGGUGUCAUUGCAGAGUGUUUUAAGUGUUUGUGUAUGGUGUUGAGUUUGGUGUUAGUUUAGUGAUUUGUUAUCAUUUCAUAAUGACACUAAUUUGGUAGUGUUUUAUCCUCUUUUGGGGUUAAAUUUUACACAUUUGAAAGUGCUAUACAGAGAUGGAAAUAAAGGGGGUAAAGACUAUGCGUGAAA